RNAcentral lists this ribosomal RNA (303 nucleotides) under uncultured bacterium. Its description in RNAcentral is "bacterial SSU rRNA". It matches the Rfam family "Bacterial small subunit ribosomal RNA", at positions 355 to 675 of the family's 1533-position model. The record is from RNAcentral.
UGGGGAAUAUUGCACAAUGGGGGGAACCCUGAUGCAGCGACGCCGCGUGAGUGAAGAAGUCAUUCGUGAUGUAAAGCUCUAUCAGCAGGGAAGAAAAUGACGGUACCUGACUAAGAAGCCCCGGCUAACUACGUGCCAGCAGCCGCGGUAAUACGUAGGGGGCAAGCGUUAUCCGGAUUUACUGGGUGUAAAGGGAGCGUAGACGGCAGCGCAAGUCCGAAGUGAAAGCCCGGGGCCCAACCCCGGGACUGCUUUGGAAACUGUGAAGCUGGAGUGCGGGAGGGGCAGGCGGAAUUCCUGGUG